RNAcentral lists this long non-coding RNA (204 nucleotides) under Elaeis guineensis (African oil palm). Its description in RNAcentral is "long non-coding RNA (EGUI_LNC073211)". The record is from RNAcentral. Lineage: Eukaryota; Viridiplantae; Streptophyta; Magnoliopsida; Arecales; Arecaceae.
CACUAAGAAUUAGGUAAAAACCUCUUAAGGAAGUCUUCAUCAAGUUCCUUUGAUUAUUAAGAUGGAUUGCAGCUGGUUUAUUUUAUGAUAUCAGAAACAAAAUCAGAUUUCAAAUAUGCCCUAUUUUUCCUUCCAUCGUUGAUUUGAUUCUGAUGUCAUCCACCGUCAUUAUUCAUCGGAUCGGAGAUUUAUGACCUCACCACC